This is a non-coding RNA of Cinara cedri, 18167 nucleotides long. The record is from the annotation of a GenBank genome assembly. Lineage: Eukaryota; Metazoa; Arthropoda; Insecta; Hemiptera; Aphididae.
GUGGAGGGGGGACAUAUACAAAAACAACAUUUCGUGUACAGACGAGAUAAAGAUUAAUAUGUGAGACACAAACAAUUAUAAUUUAUUAUUUUAUAUAAGAAGAGUGCAUCGAUGCUAUAUCGAUUCGUUUUAUACUUAACCCCGAGACCCGGUAUAGCGGCGGUAUAGACCUAGAGAGCGUGCAGAGUACCUUACAUGAGUAAUAAAGGGAUAGUAUUAUAAUUGUAUCUCCGGUACAAUUGUGGUAACCGGUUAGCAGUACAGACGCAAUAUGACAAACAAGUUUUUCGUAGCUACCGUUUUGUGUGUGAUACACAAAGUGACGUGUGUCCGAAACACAGGUGGCGGACGGUCGCAGGAUACACGUGGAAGCCAGACAACCAGACGGCCAGACAAUCGGUCCGUUUCCCAGCCGAUCUUAUUACAUAUUUUAUUAUGAUGAUGGUGGUGUCUAUUUUUUUUUUAAAUGUAAUAUAUAUACAGGGUGUAGAUUAAUUAAGUAACUCUCGUUAGUCCCAGAUUAUAAUACACGGUCAUAUUAUAUUGGGUAAACAAAUUAGAAACAUAAUUUCAGUUUUGCGUAACUGUCUCGAUCAUAAAAUGUUCGUUAAACAUUGCACGCGACUUUUUGCGAAAAUCCUAUCCAAACUAAAAUAAUUUUAAUGAUAGGAAAUGAUGUUGGUUACGGGUAUCCAUUAUUUUAGUGUAGUGCGUACCUAUGGUUUUGCGAAAAAUCACUUGUUAGGUUAGUUUAUUUAUAAGAUUUGGGUUAGUAUAUCAUAUGAUAACGUGUAAACAAUUAGAUUUCAUAAGGUCGCGAGUAAUGGUAAAACUCUGAAAAAAGUGAUUUGCUUCUUCUAUCAUGCAAAACGUGUUACUCAGUUCAGUUACACCCUCUACAUAUGCGUAUGUUAUGUACGUACCUACCAUUUCCCAGUAUGGUACACACAAGACACUUCAUAUUUUAUAUAAUAUAGAUUAUACAGCAUUGUAAAUAUAAACAAUAUAUAUAUAUGAUUUUGGAAGUGAUUUAGAACCGUGUCGAUUCUGACCUCUCGGGGUUUUUUUUUUUUUAAAUAUUUACGGGCACAAUACCAUUUAAAAGCGACUGUUCAAUUAUAAAACCAUUCUGUAAUUCGAUAUAUAAUGUUUUGUUCCGUGUAACGAGUUUCAAAAGUUUUUCCUUACAGUACAAUAACGUUCGAAGAAAGAAGAAGGAAAUUCAUUUUUAUUUUAUUUAAUACAAGACAUUUUAUAUCUCUGCGAUUCCUUUCUCCGAACAACCCCCUCCCCUUCCCCCAUCAUCUACACGCUCGUAUAUUAUUUUACUUGAAUACAAUGCGUUUGAGCACGAAUGCGUAUUUAAUUUUAAAUAUAAUAUAUACUAUAUACGUAUACACGAAGUCUAAACGAAAACCAGUGAUUCUUCAAAGGACAAAUAUUGCAUUUUUCUAGGGCGCGUACAGUAAAAACACCGUAAACAUUUGCAUAAAAAUGCUAGGGAAAAAUAUAUAAGAAUAUAAAUGUAAAUGUAUUUUUUUUUUCACAAACCAUAGUGCAUCGCCUGAAGUAUUACCUUAAUAACAUAUAGUCGGAUUUGCUGUGCCAAUAAAAUUGUUUUUGUUUUCGUCUGCAGUCGUUACCUGUUUUUGGCAAAAGUUUAAUACUGCGAUUUGUUUUUGUUAUCAAAUUAUCACCUAACCGCGAGAAGUGCGAAAGAAAAAUAUUAUUACCUUUGACAUAAAAAUAAAAUAUCGUAUAUUAUAAUAUACUAGCCGUCGGUUACAAAUAAAUUCCAAAAAAUCUACUGCAAAAUACCUAUGUUUGCACUAUCGAGACAAAUUAUACCUAGUUGAAUUUAUUAAAAAAAGAUAAAAUACCAAAAAUCGAUCCAGAAAAAGAUGGCUUGAAACGAAAUCAUCUAGAUAUUAGAUAAUGAAAGAUAGUCAAAAAUAAAUUAUAAUCCAUUUAUUACUUGAAAUCAAUAAUAAUUUAAUUUCAUAAAUUUAGUAGCUAUUAAAAAUAUAUAAAUAUAAAAUUGUCAAUCUAAUGUACUAUGUAUAUUAACAUCGGUAACAUUUGUUAUAAUAAGUUCAUUUUACUUGGGUAUAGGUACCUACUUACAUAAAAUAUUAUUUUUCCGGGGCCCUCGUGCAUGAUGAUUUUUAAAAAUUAUUGUAACAUGUGGAAACAAAUAUGUAAUUGGCUUUAUUGCAAAUAAGUUCAGACAUAUUUCUUGAUGAUAACGAAAACCCGAUCGCUUGUGUGCACCCGUCUAAAAUCCUGCAAUCUACCCGACAUGAUUUUUCAUCUACUAGGAUACUAGUGAGGGUAAUAGGUUUACACGGUUUAGGAUACUAUAACUUAUUGUUGUUAGCAGUAUUGGCAGUUUUGGAUCGACCGACGGUUGGUUUGUAGGUUUUCGACACUGGUCGGCAUCAUUUAAUAUUUUUAUUUCGCCUCGCACGGUUUCGAGAAAAAUUCCUCGAUUCACGAGCCGUUAUAUUAAACACAGUGACGACCACUUUAUAUGCUCCGUAUAAGUACAGGUUUUACAUUCCACCGUGACGCUUAUUGAAAUCGAUCGGAUUACGUCAACGCGUGUUAUUGAAAACUGAUCACUUAGUUGUUUUAUCCUCUACUCGAUCGAUAUUUAUUUUUUAACCGGAGCAUAUUUACACCUCAAAUGGCACCUCAAUUUCCCCGCGUAUUAAAGGAUAAAAACGUAGUAAAAAAAAAAAAUUGCUGGUCAAAACAAUGAUAAUUCGGAGCUCUUACCCUCAUUGAAAUUUCGCUUUCUUCGCGUUGCGGCCUCGGUCGUUUCCGACGCGGUCACACACACACACGUGUUUAUAAUUUUUUUUUUUUCUCGGACCGCGGCCUCUUUGACCGCAACGUUAUUUUUAUAGGUUACUGCGUAUACACGAGGUACAAUACGUAUUAUUAUAUAGUCUUCGUUAUCGUUUUUUAAUUUUCUUGCGAGAUCGUCGAAAGGUUAUCGCCGUCGUCGCCGUCGUCGUCUCUCUGUUACAAAUCGUUUCCACGUUAUUUUCUAAGCGAAAUUUAUACGUUUUUUUUUCCUUUGCCGCGGUCACAUUGGAACUCGUAGUUACGUUCGAACGCACGUACAUAAUAUUGUCGUACGCGCGCAUACGUUUGUAGUCGUAGCGAUUUGUUUUAUUAUUGUUUUUUUUUUUCCUUCUGGUCGUAAAUAACGGGUCGUCGUAGUCGUCGCGACGGCAGCGUCAACGGUUCUGUCGCGAGCCGAUUAAAAAUCCAUUAAAACCUCAGAGGCGCGGCCAGUUUGGCCCGGCUCGCCGCGGCGGCGGCCCGACGACUUUUUCCCCGUCGCGCGUACACAAAACUCGCGCCCGGUCGCCCGUGUACGCGUUCGUCGGGACCGCGUGUGUAAUAUCCGUCCACGGUCCCCGGGCUCAUCGAUCGUUUUUCGCGGACGUUCGCGAUUCGCUAGCGAGGGCGCGCGCGCGAUUUAACGAAAAUUAAUACACGGCGACGGCAAACGUCGUCGACGGGGGUCGCAAAUCGCGGGCGUCGGCUUAAAAGCCAAAUCCGUCGUUAAACAACACGCCUCGUCGUCCUAAUUAACGGCGUGGGUGACAACCGGCCACCGGGGCCCCUCUAAACGAAAGGUUUUUGACGGACACUCUCGGAACGCGCCACCGUCGCGCUAAUCGCACCGCCCGAAAGGGUGCGCGCGUUUAAACGAUCAAUGAUAAAUAAAAUUGUCCCGCGAACUCGGACCGCGAGUUUUCUAUUCGAACCGAGGCAUAUCACAAGGGCGUCGUGUCAGUUUUUCUGUAAGUAUGGGCACGUUUAAAUUGGGCAGAAUUUUUGAAAAUAUUCCGCUCACCCCUAUUCUUAUUCACACUUUACAUUAAAAUAUUAAAAUACUACAUUUGUUGACAUUAUACAACAACAUUGAUACUAAACUACUACGUGAGUUUCGACACGCAUUAUUAUCUUGCUAACGUGCCUGUUUAUUUGAAUAUCAAAUAACCAUGGUAAAAAUUCCCUAUUUCCCAUUCUCACAUUGCAGAUGGAAACAAGUUUUUUGUCUAAAUUCUAAGUCUAUACAAAUAUUUUUAAAUGAACCACACAAAAAAAAAAUCUGAUACUGGGGAUAGGUGCGGCCACUGCUGUAGAUGAGUAGUGAGAAAGGUGGGAUACAUAAAGUUAUUUAAUUUAUACCUGUAACCAACGAUAAACCAUUGCUGACGAAAGACGAUUCCGAGCGCAGUUUGAUAAUAAAUAAUUUGAAGUGCCGCAAUUUUUUUGCUAUUUUCGUUUAAAUUUGAUUUCAAAACGCUUAUUAACAAAAUAAAAUUCACCAAAAAUAUGGUCUCUUGUUGCUGAGGAAAAAAAGACACUAAGUUAUAUCAUCCCUUCAAACUUCUCUUAUUGACAGUAUCAACUUUUUUUUAUACUUCUGAUGAUAAUAUAAUAAAUAUAAUUUUAGCUAAAAUUAUCAAUAUUGUGUCAAAGUUUUGAUAUACAGUAUUUAAUGGUGCAAUUUAUACAACGAAAUGUGAACAUUCUGUUAAUAACAGUUUAUUCUGUUUAUUAAUUUUUUUAACUGAAUUACAAAAAUUUCGUCUUCUUCUGGUUUUUACGAAACAUUAUGAAAUCAAAAAAUGACUUGCGCUAUAAAAAAAAGAUGUACAACGAAACAAAAAGGUUUCUUAUAAUUUUUCGAUCAAAGCAUUUUUCCGAAUAAUAAAAGUUUUCCGUGAUAAUAUAAAAUAAUAAUAUUGGGAAAUUAUACGUUUUUCCUACUUUUUCCUCUUUAUUAUAAAAACUAAUUCGGAAAAAAAAAAAAACUAACUGCAUCAUUAAAAACAAGAUUAAUAAUUAAACAAAAAAAAGUCUUUUGUCGUUUUUCAAUUGGACCCAUAUUUGUGCUAGAAAACAUGGUAGAUACGUAUUUUUUCCCGGUUAAUCGUUUUUAUUUUGAACACCGUUUCGAAAAUCAAAAAAUGACCUAUGUAUUUACCAAGUAAAUUAAAUUGAAUUUCAGAAAAGGUGUUACAUUUAUACAUCAGAGAAGGUUUUCAAGGAUAAAAGUGGUCUACAGUAUAUAAAAAAAAAUAAAGUAUCAUUUUCAAAAAAUUUAAAAAAAAUUAUCCGAUAAUUUUGGAAAUUUUAUUACGUUUAGGUACGUUGAAUAUACGUAUUAUUACCAAGUUUCAAGUCUCUACGUGUAUUUAUAGCUGAAAAACAGCAAAAAAACUCCCAAAAAUUAAAAUUCUUUUAAAGCUCAAUUGUGGCUCAAAAGUUUUGGCAACUACACCGUUAGUAACUAAAUCAAAACGGAAACAAAUAAAGGUGUCUUGUGAUUUUUCGGUUCAAUCAUUUAUUCUGGUAGAAAACGUCGUCCGUGUUUUUAUAAAAUAAUGAAAUCGUGAAAUUGUACGUUUUGCUAUGUUUUCCGGCUUAAGUAUUUUUAUUUAAAAAAUGGCAUCGAAUAUCAAAAAAUAUUUUUUUUAAAGAACAAUCUAGACAACUUGAGCUUUCAGAAAAGUUGCAGUUCGUAAAGAUCAGAGCAAAUAUACUACGAAAAAACAUGUCCACAGUCUAGAACAAAGAACAAAGAAGAAGAAAAAAUAAACAACAUAGUAAAACCAAUACUCCCUCGCUACGCUCGGAAUCUAAUAAUACGUUUUGUAUAUUUUUCCGUUUUUCUUACGUUUUAUCCAAUUAUGAUAAAAACCGAUAAAAGAAUCAAAUUUUAAUCGUUUUAAAGGAUCAGCCACAUAUAAUUUCACUUGAAAAUCGGAGCAAGAUGUCUGAUAAAGUAGUUGAUAACAGAUAGAGAAAAAAAAUUAAAAAAACACUGUCUAACCGAUAUGGUUUGCUUCGCUCAAAAUCUAAAAUAAAUUAAUAACAAUAAUACAAUAUUCUCUGGUAAUUAGCGUGAAGAAGAAACAAAUACAUCAUAUGUAUAUAUAUUAUAAUUAUAUAAUAUUAUAUAAAAUUACUUAUUUACUUAAAAGUUCGGUGACCAAAUAAUCGGGCAAAAUAAUUGUGUUAAAAUAACAAGGUAAUUAAAUUGUGAUGAGAAGCAAUAUCAAACCAUCAUCUGCUCUGAUUGGUCAUUUUUAACUCUUUUCUAAUACGUGAAGGAGCAGGGUUGUCAUCACCAAAUUUCACCAAAAUCACUCUCCUAUACACGAAAUAAAAUGAGGGGUACAGUACUCGAUCGAAAUUAUUCAACUUAUUUCUUUCAUCAAUAAAAAAUAAAGAAUACUCUACUGUUUUGGGCCGCACACAUGGCUCGAAUAUAUUAUAAUAUUGGCGGUUCACCGGGUGUCGAGCCGUUGAAAGUUGAUAGAAUUUCGUGAAUUAUACGUAAAAUUGGGUAAAUGGUAAAUGACUUUAUUCUACGUAUACGAUCAUUAGAAACAUAAAAUAUAAAAACAAUUAAAAUCAGAGAAUAGUUGCGCGUUCCAUCCUUUAAUUCGUUCUUUUUAAUAUUGAUUUUUGUUUCUUUAUAAAGAAAAUUACACCGUACAAAAAAAAAAAAAUGUAAACUAGUUAAGUAUUCUCACGAGGUGGGAUGGGGUUGGGUUGUUAUUGUUUUAUACUAUUUGAACUGUCAAAAAAAUUUUCUCGAGCCACCUCUGGUAUAGGGCCGUAUGAAUUUAAAAUACUAACUCCUUUUCCUCCAAAAAAAUAAUCACCUGUAAAAAAAAACAACUAAAAUAUGCGGUCAAAUGCAAUCGUUUAUAAAAAUAUUAUAUCGGUAAUGUUUUCUUUGUCAUGUUAUAUGCUUAUAAAAAAAUUUGAAAAAAGCCGUUGUUUUCAUAUUUUACACACACGACAACGAUUUAAUUUGCUGGAAAAGUUUUUUUUUCUGGAUAAAUAAUGUUAAAAAACAAAAACAAAACCGAAAGAUAACUGAAAAUAAAAUAUGCAAAUCUCGUAAUAGAGUAUGUGUAUAAUAUAUUAUAUAGACAUAAAAAAAUAUAACACAACGGUUUAAAAUAGGAGAAGAUUUCAGCUUUUGAAAAACUGUACAAUUUUUCAUUUUUAAAAAAAAAAAAAAAACACGUUGAUAAAUCACUGAUGGAACCCUACUUUCAUACUUCGACUGAUGAGUAGGUAUUCUGCGGUUGAUUGUUGCACUUGAAUUUCGUAAGUUUUGUUUUUCCUCCCUUUAAUUUCUACGGGUUUCCUUGGUUACUGCUACCCGGUCCCGUUAUAACUGCUUAAUGCCAUCGUCACCUUUCCCGUAUACUGGAUGUCAAAUGAAAGACGUUGCGACAGGAAGAAACAAUCACUAUGGGUACCUACUGCAACAAGGCCGUGCAGUUUUAAUAAUAUAUAGCGACUCGAGAUUCACUCCUUGCGCGAGUUCACACGGGUCUUUGUAUAAUAUAUUAUACGUGCAUAAAGUCUGAGACACCGUAUACCUACACACCUACUAACCGUACACUACCUACUUAUCGUGUACAUAAUUGAAACGUUCGAACUUUGACGGCGCGGAAUUUGUCCCUAUGAAAUUAUAAAGUAUAAACUUAUAGACGUUAAAAAGUAGAAGAAAAAAAAACCUACCCGAGAGACGUGGACGCUCCCGUUUUGUUUUCGUAACAAAUAUUAUGUCGGCAACAACUGUGCCGAGUAUCGGAGAGGAUAAAUUAUUACUGUUCCGAGAUCUAUACAUAUUUUACGCUUUGAACACUAUCUUGGACAAAUAAUUAAGUGUAGGUACCUAUAUAUAUAUGUGUGUGCAUACACAAAGAACCUUCAGAACUUACAAGUUAUUGCGCUAAAAUCGUCGGAAAUACGUACCGUACGUAAUUACUGCAAUAAUAAUUAAGUUCAACGUUUUUAGGUGAAAGGAAAUAACAUUUAUUUACAGACAAACAACGCAGACGCAUAAUAUUACACAGGAAAACACACGUAUCAUAAUGUUAAUUGGUAUAUCUAUUUCUUUAUCAGCCGCGUCUAGCCCGAUAUUAUAUUUUUGUCCGUAGAAAUCUUGAAAUCUCGAAGUCACGAUUGCGCAAUGCGGAUUUAAAAUCCGAUAUUGUUACACUAUAAACUGCAUUAUGCUAAAUUCUGAAUAUAAAAUUCUUAUUUGCGCGAGGCCUUUCAGAAGCGCCACACCCAAAUGUUACGCCAUGUACAAACGUCCAGUAUACCUUGCCACUGCGUAUGUAUUGUAAUACAUAUUGCGUAAUAUCCUCGAUAAUUAUUAUUCGUAUCAAUAACGGGUGUUUUUCAAAACACCCGUGAGCAGCUGGGCUCCGACACUAGAGGCAAAUUUCUCAUCCCCACCUAUUUUGUAAAUAGAAAUAUUUGUUGAAAAUCAACCUCUAUAUCUACUAUAUAUUUCUUGUAUACUAUACUUCUAUGAAAUAUUGAAAUUUUAUCAUAUAAAUGGCAGCGGUUAAAGUUGAAAACCUGAAAAGACAAAUUCUAGCUGCGUUCUAAUACUAUGCGUAUUAAACAUUUCAUUGCCUUGAAUUUAUUUAGGGAGACUGUAGGUAUUUACCAAGCUAAAACAACACUUUCCAUCCGUAAGAAAAAACAUGGUUCAAUUCAUAUUGAAACUCAACCAAACUUUCAUUACCCUUUUAUACACCUUAAAAACAACUUUAAUUCUCGAGUUUGAGCUUAUUUGAUACAGAGGUAGUUACUAGAAAUGACAAAAAGUAGCGGGAAAAAAUAAAUAAAUAUGAUCAUCAUACAAUUGUCUCUAUUUAUAAGAAAAAUUCUACAUAAUUCGACAUUACUUAUAAUAUUAUGAUUAUUCGUUUUUAAUAUGGUUCUCAUUGUAUGGUACAAAUACCUAUAGCGAUACUGCAGAUUGAAAUAUCUAUACAAUUCUACUUAAACUAUGCAAUAUGCUGCAAUUAUUUACUGCUUUACGCGCAAUUUUAUCUAAGUGGACCUCAUACAUCUCGUAGUAUAUUUAAGGCGUAUCGUAUAGGCAAUUAUAAAUAAUUUUUAAGACCUUUUUUAACCACAAUAAUCAGUCGACUUGAGAAUAAUAAUUUUUAAUUAUUUAAUAAUUAUAAGUUGAAUUCACUUUAAAAUAAUUUUACAAGUAUAUAUCAGUAAUCCCGUAUUACAUAAUUUUAUCAUCUAUUUAUUAUGUGUUGUAACGUGAUAUAAUUUUUUCAAAACCGUGCAAAACUGAAAGAAUAAAAAGAUAGAUACUUAUUAUAUAUUUAAGGUUGGUACUUUUCAAAGCAAAUUCAGAUGUAAAACAUUAAGUAAUAAAAUAUUUUACAAUUCGUGGCGUUUUCCAAUAAAUGCAUUAUGAAGGAAUCUAAAAAAGAAAAAUAUAGAGUUGUUACGCAUUUUUUGUUUUUAUCCAGAUUAUUGGGAGAUGAGGGAAUGUAGUAAAUAAUAAAACAAUAAUGGAUGGAUUGCAGACUGUUAUUCUAUGCCUAACCCGACAAUAUGCGAAUAUUCAAAUGCCGGAUUCAAAAAAGCCAAUUUGUAUUCAAUACACCGAGACUACUUGUAACUCUGCUGAAUUCUAUAUUACACAUUUCAAGAAUGAAUUAUUAAAUAAAUAUUCAUAGCCGUAUUUGUAAUCCAACAGAUAAGGGGAGAGGAAGCUACGAGCAUUAUAAACCCUAAAUUUCCUUUUACAGCGCAUGUCACUGUUUUCUUUAUUUUUUUGUGUACAUAAGGCUAUUUCGAUUGUUUCGUUCGGAAUUUUUUUUUACCACGCGAAAAAUCAUCGGAUAUCAUCUGCACGUCCUAAGCGAAACCGUAUUAACAUUAUUAUUAUCUCGUCGAUCUUGCAUUGCGUAGCGGUUGAGAGGAAUCGUUCGUUAAUUCAAAUAACGAAUGAAUAAAUACGUAUAUAUAUAUAUAUAUAUCAUAAAAUAUGUAGAACAAUUGUUCUGCGCGGUCUGCUGUCACCGAAUCGUUAGCAGCGGAUGUUUUUAUUUUUUUUUAUUAUGAUUAUGAUUAUUAUUAUUUUUAAUCAUCCAUCGUUCUCCGAGUGAUGCAACGAUGUAACGAUGUCUCGAACGGAUCUGGCACGCAGACUGACGUACAUCAGUAAUAUAAUACAAAACACACACAUACACUUGCACACACACUUUUUACGAUAAUAAUAAUGUAAAAUGUAUAUAUAUAUAUAUUUCUUUUAUUUAUAUAUACCUAUAUAUACUCGCGCAGUGCCGACGACAACAAAGCGCAUCGAUUGUGCAGUGUGGCCGUCGUCUGCCGUCUGCCGACUCCGAGGUCUAGAAAUAGCUCGAAACUGUGUCCGGCCGACCGUUCCGCAGUCCAUACACAGAGAUAUUUAUCGUCACCUGUGACGUUAAAAAAAAAAAAAAAUAAAUAAAUAAAUAAGUUAAAAAGAUUUCGUUUCAAUAAUAUUAUAUUUUAUCAUUUCCGGCCGUCUCUUCGAAAACUUCCGAACGUGUAUUAUUAAAUUGGUUUUUUUUUUUUUUUUUGGCGGCGACGGGUCAAAUUCGAUAUCGCAUCGUAUCUUAGGUAUUAUUAUUAUUUUUAUUCUCUCUCUCUUUCUCUCUCACUCUUCUAACGGAUCUCAUAUACAUACGCCACGUGAGUUUGCGGGGUACUCGUUUGCGAUUAGAAUCUAUCGUUGGCAUUUCGAAUUGGCUACGAGAACAUUUUGGCCCGUGACUUCAGGGCGUUCGCUGCUAUUAUUAUACAGGUAGAAGACGGCGAAGAAGGUCAAGCGACACACGCUAAUAUCUAUACUGUUGUGUGUACACUGUCUUAGACUCACUGUAUACCUACUGUUGUAUAAAUUACAAGCUUCGCGAGUUAAAUACCAUCUCAUAUUAUUAUUAUGGCGGUUAUUUCGGUUUUUAUACGUUAUUGGUUAAGCUAUGAUAAUAUUUUUUGUAAUAUUAUCAAUAAUAUAUUUACGGCUGCAUUUAUUCGCUUAAACCGACGAUGUAUGUUGAAAAUAACUAAAAUAUGCACAUGUAAAAAUGUGCUUGUUUAUAAACCGAAUUGAUUAUGAACAGCAGAGCUCCAUGCCACUAGAGUCGAAUUCCUCUCCCCUCAACUAUUUUGUAUUGAAGAAAUAUUCUUUGUAAAACAAUAACAUAGGUAACUGAAUACUAUAAUAUAUAAUACAAUUAUACUUUCAAUAAAUAUGGGGAAAUUUUAGUGUAAAAAAUGUAUUUCAUUAAAUGGUCUGUAGUAAUGUUCACAAUAAAAAAAAUUAAAAACACCCUACUUCCGCUACAAUAUAGAUUGAAAUUGAACCAGUGUUAUAAAAAUUUGAUCCACUUAUAAAACAACUAGAAUUCCAGAGUUUGAGAUCAAAUAUCGUACAGAAGAAGCCUUUAAAAGUAUUCAAAAGUAAACGAAAAAAGAUAUGUGUAAUAACUGACACAAUACAGUGCUAUAAUAUAGUAGGGAUAAUAUUAUAGGCUCAAUUUUCAUGAAAAAUUCGAGUCACAAAAAUAAUACACAUGCGUAUUUACAUUACGAAAAUACGAAAAUACACGUUUAUAUUAUCACUAAACCACGAAAAACGGAAAGGAGAACGAUAGCCAUUUUGACGAUUUCUGUUUUACUGCAUUUUCAGGGUAUAAUCACUCGAUUUUAAUAUUUUUGCGGGGUUAGUAAUAUUUCUAAAAAGAAAAACAUACAUGUGUGGUAAUUCUAUUCGAGCAAAUAAAAUAUUAUAAUAUCCGUUGAAUAGAUAACAGGUACCUAUAUUAUAGUAUUUGACUUUGCCAACGUAUGACGUUGACAUUAUUAUAGUGUCAUAUUAUUUCGUAACCAAUCAUUGUCGUUUUGUCUGUAUAAUACUGUAUAUUGUAUACUUAGUUUCGGCCUGUACUCGUGUAUUUUUUUUUUUAUAAAUUACGGCAAAGAUAUUUCCCGCGCAAUUAUGAAUCUUUUUUUAAACGCCAACGUUUCCGGGGUACACUAUUGGAUACCUAUAUAUUAUACGAGAAUUACAUUAUAACGUCUGUCGUCCGAUACAAAAACCUACAGCAGUUGCAGUGAUUAUAAUAUUAUUGUUUUAAACUGAUAGGUACAGGUAUAGGUGGUACUUGUCUAAUUUUGUGAUAAAAAAAAAAUUACGUAUUAUUUUUAAAUUAAGUACGGGAACGUCGUGAGUGUUUUUGUCCGGCUCGUUUGAGUAUAAUAUAUAAUUGACGCGACGAGUAGUAUUGUAAAACACGAAGCUCUAAUAUUAUACGUUAAGAAUAAUGAAAAGAAAAAAAAAAUUAAAUUUGAUCGAUAAAUAUUCUAUUAUACAGUUUGUAGUAUACGCAUAAUAAUGUCACUCGAUCAAUAAUUACCACCGGCCCUGCUACCGUACAUACACAGGAGACAUUUAUAAUAAAUGUCACGCGUCGUCGUCCUCGUGAUCCUGUAUGUAAUACGCGUUCAAGUGUUUACUUAUAUUACAUAUGUAUGUACGUACAUAGUGGACACACAAUACCUAACCCUAUACGGUUGUAUUAUCGGGGGUCGGGACCCCUCUGGGUCGAGAACCUAACAACUAACAAGACUAACCAUUUUCGUAUAUAGGUACUGCAGUAUAUACGUCAUAUAUUCUUAUGGUAAUUGUAUACCGCACUUGUCUCUUUUGUCCAUUUCAGCGUACAUUAUAACUGCCCCGGUCGCACGGGUGCGGAUUUCCGGUUGUACAUCAUUAGACCGGACGGGCGUGUUUAACUAUAAUAUAAUAAUAAUAUUAUUAUGUGCACACACAGCCAAUAAUAAUGUUCUGUGUAUUUUUAUGUAUCUAUAAUACGCAUUAAAUGGACAACAUCGGGCGAUCGUAUUCACGCUAGAAGAAGCUAUCCGGGAGAGGGGAUGGGCGACGUUUUGCAAUUUUUUCGAUGUAGACAGGGCUCAAAGUUAUAUCCGAAAAACGGCCAGCCAAUGAGACAAGGAUAUUUUAUAUAUAUAUAAGGAAAAAAAAUGCAGGAUGGUUAUCGAAUCACACUAUUUACCCGAAUCAAAGGGACGAAUUGCACUCAGGUCAAAAAUAGAUAUUAGACAAACUGUACUAAGGGUGAAAAUAUAUAUAUUUUUUAAAUUAAAUACUGUCGUAUAAGUUGUGUAAACAUAUAUAUUUUUACUGCUGUCAGAGUAUUAACAUCGUUUUAUUAAAGAUUGUAUAAUUUGCGUUAAAGUUAGAAAAAAUAACAUUAGUUAUUUUUUAUACUCUGUUUCUUUUAGACAGUACGGUUCUAUAUAAUAAUUAUUACCUUUUAAAAUCACUUUCUUUUAAUUUUCUGCAAAAAAAAAUUUAAUUUAAAUAAUAAUAAUAAUAAUUUAACAGCUUCAAAAAAUUGUUCUUAUCAUUUAUAUCGUAAUUUUUACCGCAUAUAACUUGUCACUUAUCAAUAUCAUAUUUCUUAUCAGUUAAAUAUGUUAACAAUGACUUAUAAUUGUUGAGCGGGGUUGAAAAAAAUAAUUGUUUAACUAUUUUAAUUAUGAUGCGUGAUAACUGUAGAAACGCGAGCGUGGCAAAUAUUUUCAUACAAAUGCAAAUUAUUUAUUUGUGAGAAAAAAAUCAGGUCGGUGAUACGUGGAGGGACGCCAAAAUUUAAAAAUUAUCCAAAAUAGGUCACGUAUUGUGUACAGUUUGAAAACCUUUGACUACCCUACUACUAGAUACUAAUCUUAUAACAUUAUUAUAGUACCAUAUGUAUAGAAAAUCUAGGAACUUACAUUUUUUUUUUUUUUAAGUAUAUACGUAUCAAAUGCUCAAAUUUAUUAAAAUCCAAUAGAGCUCUAGUUCGAUAAACGGUACCGGUAAAUUUUAUUAAAUCAUUAGCGAAAACAGCCAACUAGAUACAUGCGAAAUUCAAAAAUAUACGCUCAGGUUAUUUACGUGAUCCGCAACCGAUCCCGCAGAGAAAUCUUUUGAGGAUAUAAUAAAAUAUACGCCCGACGGGAUGUGAACGGUUUACGGGUAAAGAGACUCGUGGACUUGAGCCAAUUCGCUCGUAUAUAUCUAAUAAAAAUAUCGGCUUGACUAAAAUGCGGUUUAUACGCCGUGCGAAUUAUGUAGUUGGCAUUUAAACGCUACAGCAUCGUUUAUCUGUCCGACUGCAAUGCGAAACAAUAUUAAAGUAUCGCAGCGUUUUGAACGAAUUUGGGCGCGAGAUUUUCUGGGCGGAUCCACGCAAAGGUUUAUGUGGAAGAAGCGGUUUUUGUUCACCAUGUCGAAUAGCUAACAAUAGUAAUUAUUGUUAUAGUUUUGGGGGAUUCCCGGGGGGAAAAAAACGACACUUUGGCCGCGUUUCGUCAGUAUAUAAUACCAUAAUAUCAUUGUUCUUCUUCUUCAUGACUUCUGCCUUUAACACCUUAUCGUUCAGCAUAUCUGUCUCCGAUUCUAUUCUACUCAAAGUUUUACUUUUUGACAUUCUUUUCUACCCGAUCUUUCCACCUUAGUCUUUGGUGUCCUAGCGGUAUUUUCACCUAUGGGUCAUUUUCUAGUACUAUUCUCAGAAGCGAUCUUUUUCCUUUAAGCCACACGUGCCCAGCCUGGACGAGUCGUUUUUUCGUAACAGCCUUCACAAUUCUCGGGCUUUGAAAUAAUUCUUAGAGUUCUCAAGUUUUUUUUUUUUUGAUUUCUCUAAAAAAUAUCAAAUAUUUACAACUUUGGACGGACCGUGUAUUUUUUUUAUUAAUCUCUUUUCAAAAACAACCUCACCUAGUGAAUUUUUGUCCGUCUUCCGCAGUGUCCGAGUUUCCGACCCAUAAAUUAUUGCCGGGGUUUUAUUAACGAAAGUAGGGUAUUGUUUUAAACAAUUGUAAUAAUAAAUGCGUAAACGCGGUUUUCCUUUAUUACGCGACGACGUUCGCGUCGGGCGAACGUUUAUAUUAUCAUUCAGCCGACGUCUAUCGCUAUUCGCUGUCCCUGUCAACGGCGGCGGCGCGUUCGGUUUGGAUUUAAAAUCUUUUUGCCUUUUUUUUUCCCAAAUCACGUAACGGGAACAGUUUUAUUCUUUUCGACUCGAAUUGAAUUGCUACAAGCUUGGGGUUUUUUUUUCACUGUUUAAAUUAUGAUUAUAUUUAUUAUAUACCUUUGAGCGAAGUCGACAGCGCCUAAUUGCUAAAUCCAUUAAGCGUUUGUACGCGCCCGGCGAAUCUCUGCCGAACUGUCACCAAAAACUAACGCGUGGUGUUUCCGUUAGAUUUUCGGUCACUGCUCGAGCGUAGUAAUUAAAAUUAAAAAAAAAAAAACUAUUGCGUUGUUAUUUCAUUUUAAAAAAAACGUUAUUUAGAUGUAUAGUUUUACUGAGAUAUGUUCUAUUUUAUUUUUUUUUCUACAAUUUUUGGUUAAAAAAUAUCCCCAAAAUCGAACAUGAAAAAUAAUAAAGUAUAGAUAUUUAUUUGAAAAAACAAAAAAAAAACUUAUUACAAAAUGACGACGUAUAGGUUUUUUUCAUUUGGUUGCCCGAAUCUUUCGAACGUUUUUCCGGCGCUGCCUUUAGACACGAUGACUUAUUAAUGUCAUAAUAAAUAUGAAUCUUAGGCUAUUUGCAUAUUAUUUUUUAAAGAUUAAAAAAAUCAUAAUAAUCAAACAUAAACACUGUUUAUCAUGUAAGGAAUCUAAAUCCUAAAUUUUAUUUUACACAUUUUACAGUUUUUACUUUUUAGAUCAUAUUUUAACUUUUAAGUGUUAUACAAGGACAUACUCUCAUAUCUUAUCUUGUUAUAUGCCGCGUAUAAUACAUGCUUUUACAGAUUUAAAUUGUUCAAAAUUACUGAUAUGUGAUAUUAUAUAUUCGAAUAGACUGUCGUAAAAAAGUUAAUUUAGUUAUAAUGUUAAGUUUGAUUAAUAACUUUUAAAUCAUUCAUCUCAAAACACAACGUAUUUGCACAAAUACCACUGAUAAUUAAAAAAAAUUAUAAUAAUAACGAAUUAGUUAUUUAUCAAGUUUUAAGUAUACAAUUCCAAUAAAAACAUAUUUCAGUGCAUAUAUGAUCGAUUUUCAAGCCGUAUUUACAUAAUUUGCAGAGUUAGGAAUCCGUAACAUUAAUCAUGUCCGGAUUAAGGAGAAGUCUAGAAACGGCCACGGCUUCCGGGCCACCAGACUUCCAGGACCUCAGUUUUUGCCACCGUAUGUUUCUUUAUACUAAAAACCCAAAAACAUACAAUGACAUAAUAAUAUGAUUCGCUUCGAACGUAAAUGUUUAAUCUUUGUAAUUUGAUAUUUUAAUAUUUUUUCGUUGCUCAAUGAUGAAUUGUUAGUAUUAUUAUACGUAAUAAAUAUAGUACUAGUAACUUUGUUAAAAAUAGUAUAUAUUUAUUUAUUUGUAAAAUACUCGUGGCUUUUCGAAUCGAGAUCCGAACGACGUCUAUAUGCCAUUUAUUGUUACCGUUUUUGAAAAUUCUAUGAUAUCGGUCUUACAACGAGAAGUUAAUUAUCAUCGAAAAGUUCGAUCCCGGAGGCCACUAAACGUCUUGAUCCGGGCUAAUCACAACAACCGAAUCCGAUUAUCGUGUGACGCAUACGACUAGUGCGCCACGUGUCCGCACACAUCGUCACACGCACCGACGUCGUAAUACGCGGCGGCGUCAGCGGGUAUACCAUUGUUUUGGGUGCUCGGGCACAACAAUAUUGUUUCCAGCAAUCAUUAUCAUUAUUAUAUCUAUCUCGAUGUUGACGGUUGAUGAUGAGACGACGACGAUCGGGGUCCGGCGCAAAUAAUUGAACAUUAUUAUUGUAUUAAUCGUCGUUACCGCACCGUCCUAUAAUACCUACCGAUAAUAAUAUUGUAUACACACGUUCGUAUAAAGGACGGGAAGAAACGAGAGGAAACAAAAAAAAAAAAAAAAAUCGAAAUUAAUUUUUUGUUUCACCGAGGAGCGUGCGCGCACCGCCGCGGUUUCAUUAAAAAUCGUGAGUGCGCAUUAUAAUAAUAAUUUUAUGCGCGUGCGUCAACGAUUACAGUAAUAAUGCAGUUUAAACUCGCGCUAACUAUGCGACGCGGAUCAUGUUAUACCGUGUAUAUUUUUCAAAUUGACUAGACGUUUCGAUCGAGGGUGGGGGCUGGUUAGGGCGGAGGGCGAAGGGAGGACUUUUUAAUUAGUACGAAAGCGCAGCCACCGCGCAUAAAACGUCGGAAAAAUGUUCUCUUAUAAUAUCGAUGGUGGUGUUAAUAUAAUGGACAAUAAUAAUUAUUAUAAUAUCGUCAUCGAUACGCAACGGACUUGGGUAAAUUGCUUUCUAAAAUUAUUUACUUUACAAGAACAGUUUUCGGAAACAUAUACAUAAAACAUAAUAUGACUGAGUUCGGAUGACUUACGGAAAAUGUAGAUAUUAUACAAUGAUAAUAAUAUGUAUUUAUACGUGAUAAGGAUAACACGAUGUUAUGAAUAAUAUCAAAAAAUGUUUUAUAUCCGGUACCGUCGUAUGGAAAUCGUGUUAUCUUUUGAAUAAAAAUUAAUUGCUAAAAAUGAAAACGAAGCAAAUAUUAUAAAUAAAAAAAAAAAAAUUAGAAGAUAAGUUUCUAAAACUUGAUUAAGCACCUACCCCCCAAAACAAGUCUUGGUCAAGUAAAGACUAUACAUAAUCAAUAUUAUAUUAUUAAACCCCUCCUACAAAAUGUUUAGUCCGAUACGGACUAAAUAAUAUUAUAAUUUGAUGCGGUAACCGUGGUAUGUAUAAUGCAGACGCAGUAAUGAUGAUGAUAACAUAGAGUAACCGCGAUCGCGUUGAAGUCGAACGCUUUGAACAAUUGAAAUACAAACGCGGUACAAAAUAUCGAUUAAUUUUUCCGACGUUUUUACAGCGUGAAAAUUAAUUAGCAAAUCGCGCGGCAGAGAUUUUCGUUUUAUAGAUAAAACUUUUUUUUUUAAUUUAAAGUCUGAAAAUAUGGAUUAUCAUUAAAAAGAACGGCAGCGGUAGCGUCGUUUGCAUAAUAUUAGGUGGGUGCCUAUACAUUCGACCGUGGACUUAAAUUUACGAUUAUUUUUUACGCCAAAAAACACGCGCAAAUUAUUAUGGUUCCAAGUUUUUCGGUUAUACUACAAAAAUAAUUAAAAUGACAUAAAAAAAAACUUUGAUUUGUACUAGUGUAUUAUUUUAUACAUUAUACUGUUGGUGCCGCCUUGUAUUUUACAAAUCGAUAUCGUAUUUCCGUAUCCGCCUCGCCUCACUUACCUAGUACUAUUAAAAUGUGUAAAGCAAUGCGUGUUUUUCCAUAGAAAGGUACCA